GAUGAACGCUGGCGGCGUGCCUAAUACAUGCAAGUCGAGCGAACGGACGAGAAGCUUGCUUUUCUGAUGUUAGCGGCGGACGGGUGAGUAACACGUGGAUAACCUACCUAUAAGACUGGGAUAACUUCGGGAAACCGGAGCUAAUACCGGAUAAUAUUUUGAACCGCAUGGUUCAAAAGUGAAAGACGGUCUUGCUGUCACUUAUAGAUGGAUCCGCGCUGCAUUAGCUAGUUGGUAAGGUAACGGCUUACCAAGGCAACGAUGCAUAGCCGACCUGAGAGGGUGAUCGGCCACACUGGAACUGAGACACGGUCCAGACUCCUACGGGAGGCAGCAGUAGGGAAUCUUCCGCAAUGGGCGAAAGCCUGACGGAGCAACGCCGCGUGAGUGAUGAAGGUCUUCGGAUCGUAAAAACUCUGUUAUUAGGGAAGAACAUAUGUGUAAGUAACUGUGCACAUCUUGACGGUACCUAAUCAGAAAGCCACGGCUAACUACGUG
This 498-nucleotide ribosomal RNA is filed under the name uncultured bacterium. RNAcentral describes it as "partial 16S ribosomal RNA". It matches the Rfam family "Bacterial small subunit ribosomal RNA", at positions 28 to 507 of the family's 1533-position model. The record is from RNAcentral.